UACGUAGGGGGCUAGCGUUGUCCGGAAUCAUUGGGCGUAAAGAGCGUGUAGGCGGCCCGAUAAGUCCGCUGUGAAAGUCCAGGGCUCAACCCUGGAAUGCCGGUGGAUACUGUCGGGCUCGAAUCCGGAAGAGGUGAGUGGAAUUCCUGGUGUAGCGGUGAAAUGCGUAGAUAUCUGGAGGAACACCGGUGGCGAAGGCGGCAUCCUGGACCGGCAUUGACGCUGAGGCGCGAAAGCCAGGGGAGCAAACGGG
This 253-nucleotide ribosomal RNA is filed under the name uncultured bacterium. RNAcentral's name for it is "partial 16S ribosomal RNA". It matches the Rfam family "Bacterial small subunit ribosomal RNA", at positions 524 to 776 of the family's 1533-position model. The record is from RNAcentral.